RNAcentral lists this ribosomal RNA (158 nucleotides) under Sporothrix itsvo. RNAcentral describes it as "5.8S ribosomal RNA". It matches the Rfam family "5.8S ribosomal RNA". From Rfam's summary of the family: 5.8S ribosomal RNA (5.8S rRNA) is a component of the large subunit of the eukaryotic ribosome. It is transcribed by RNA polymerase I as part of the 45S precursor that also contains 18S and 28S rRNA. Lineage: Eukaryota; Fungi; Ascomycota; Sordariomycetes; Ophiostomatales; Ophiostomataceae. The record is from RNAcentral.
UAAAAACUUUCAACAACGGAUCUCUUGGCUCUGGCAUCGAUGAAGAACGCAGCGAAAUGCGAUACGUAAUGUGAAUUGCAGAAUUCAGCGAACCAUCGAAUCUUUGAACGCACAUUGCGCCCGCCAGUAUUCUGGCGGGCAUGCCUGUCCGAGCGUCA